This 1454-nucleotide long non-coding RNA is filed under the name Salvia miltiorrhiza (redroot sage). Its description in RNAcentral is "long non-coding RNA (SMIL_LNC004010)". Lineage: Eukaryota; Viridiplantae; Streptophyta; Magnoliopsida; Lamiales; Lamiaceae. The record is from RNAcentral.
UAAUCUCGCGAAUAAGCUCGAUAUCUCCUCCUCGUCGUAAGUUGGUAACGAGGACUCGAUUGUUCCAGUUGAGGUCGCCUAAUAGACGACUGGUUUCUUCCUCCAGAUGUUGGAGAGAAUUCCUGUAUCGUACACAUCUCGGACACUCGUCUGGAUCCAUAAUUUUAAAUGGAGUCUCCUCCCACAUAGGUUAAUUAUAAAAUAAAUUAAAAAUAAUAUAAUUCUUCCAUAAAAACCCGCUCUGAUACCAUUUUGAACAAGGAUCUUUUAAACUGUUUUUUGCUUAAAAGUACGUGGCAUUGUCUCACGGUCCAGACCCAGAUUACAAAGUAAUCUAUCGGGCACGAGGAAAGUUUUCAGCCGAUAUACCAUUUAAGCCCAAUCUUAUGCAUGUUUUAGGUAUAAAUUGUCUUUUAGUCAAAAACAAAAAGUUUUAGGGGUCAAAGUACAAAGAAUUUUAUAAUGGGGUUAUUUUCGAAUAUUCCAAACUUUGGCCAUGGGAGAUUCUAGAAAAAAUUGAAAGGUGAUGUAUUAUGGGGCAAAAUCUAAAGGUGGUGUUAUAAACUAGAAUUUGGUCAUAGUUCAUGUAUUUAGGGGCAAUAACCCCUUAAUAUAAUAUACAUAUAAUAAAUCUUAAAAAUAUAUUAUGGUUAUGUUUUGUAUUUCAAUAAUUAUUUAAGUGGUAGUAUCUAUUAAAACUCUUCAUCUACAUAAUUUAGUAUCUUUUUUAUUUUGUAAAUUUAAUAAGAGUAGACUUAAAAAAAAUGCCCAAAUUAGAAUUGUACAAAUAAAAAUUUUCUUUUAAGACAAAAAUAACUUAAAAAUUUAUCAUUUUACCCUUCAUAUAAAAAAUUUUAAAAUUAUCCAUUAAUUUUUUAAUUGUGAUUUCAAGUGUUUGAACUCGAAUUCACAACCAAGACUAUUUCUGGCAAAUGAAAAAUAAAUGUCACUUAAUAUAUACCUUCAUAGAUAUGUCUUAUUCCCUAUAACAACAUAUAUAUGCACAAAUUUUGUAUGUCCGACGAUUUUCUUAUUUUUUUGAUUACCUCAAGCUGAUUGGACCUUGCAGCCAAUGUUAGUAAAAAAUGGAAGUAGGUAGCCACCUACCACUUCCACCAUUUGCCACCUACCACCUCCACCAUUUGCCUAUAAAUAAACAUCUUCUGCAGCAUCCCAAAUAUAACAACACAACACCAAAAUCACAACCAUAGCUAUCUAGAGAGAGAUAGAAAUAGAGAGAGAAAAAAAAUCUUGUGAGAUAAAACUUCAGUGUGGAAGUUAUACACGAGUGAUAAAAGAGAGUUGAGAGAUAGCCUCUGCGUAGGCAGAUACAAAAUACAGUGUGGUAUUUUUGUUGUACUCCUCCUUUUGAGAUUCUCUAAUAUAUUGGUGUGGGUCCGUGGACGUAGGCAGUUUGGCCGAACCACGUUAAAAAUAUCGGUGUCAUUUUUUUU